This 274-nucleotide ribosomal RNA is filed under the name uncultured bacterium. Its description in RNAcentral is "partial 16S ribosomal RNA". It matches the Rfam family "Bacterial small subunit ribosomal RNA", at positions 523 to 796 of the family's 1533-position model. The record is from RNAcentral.
AUACGGAGGGUGCAAGCGUUACUCGGAAUCACUGGGCGUAAAGCGCGCGUAGGCGGCUUAUUAAGUCAGAUGUGAAAUCCCCGGGCUCAACCUGGGAACUGCAUCUGAUACUGGGUAGCUAGAGUUUUGGAGAGGGAAGUAGAAUUUCAUGUGUAGCGGUGAAAUGCAUAGAGAUCUGAAGGAAUACCAGUGGCGAAGGCGACUUCCUGGCCAAAAACUGACGCUGAGGUGCGAAAGCGUGGGUAGCAAACGGGAUUAGAAACCCCAGUAGUCC